UUACGUCCAUAUUACAUUGGAACACCGGCUCCCGUACGAUCACCGAAGUUAAGCAACGUCGAGCCUGGUCAGUACCUAGAUGGGUGACCGCUUGGGAUUACCAGUUGC
This is a non-coding RNA of Acanthosepion pharaonis, 108 nucleotides long. The record is from the annotation of a GenBank genome assembly. Lineage: Eukaryota; Metazoa; Mollusca; Cephalopoda; Sepiida; Sepiidae.